RNAcentral lists this ribosomal RNA (626 nucleotides) under Bradyrhizobium sp. UFLA4-33. RNAcentral describes it as "bacterial SSU rRNA". It matches the Rfam family "Bacterial small subunit ribosomal RNA", at positions 87 to 748 of the family's 1533-position model. The record is from RNAcentral. Lineage: Bacteria; Pseudomonadati; Pseudomonadota; Alphaproteobacteria; Hyphomicrobiales; Nitrobacteraceae.
AUAUGUCAGCGGCAGACGGGUGAGUAACGCGUGGGAACGUACCUUUUGGUUCGGAACAACACAGGGAAACUUGUGCUAAUACCGGAUAAGCCCUUACGGGGAAAGAUUUAUCGCCGAAAGAUCGGCCCGCGUCUGAUUAGCUAGUUGGUGAGGUAAUGGCUCACCAAGGCGACGAUCAGUAGCUGGUCUGAGAGGAUGAUCAGCCACAUUGGGACUGAGACACGGCCCAAACUCCUACGGGAGGCAGCAGUGGGGAAUAUUGGACAAUGGGCGCAAGCCUGAUCCAGCCAUGCCGCGUGAGUGAUGAAGGCCCUAGGGUUGUAAAGCUCUUUUGUGCGGGAAGAUAAUGACGGUACCGCAAGAAUAAGCCCCGGCUAACUUCGUGCCAGCAGCCGCGGUAAUACGAAGGGGGCUAGCGUUGCUCGGAAUCACUGGGCGUAAAGGGUGCGUAGGCGGGUCUUUAAGUCAGGGGUGAAAUCCUGGAGCUCAACUCCAGAACUGCCUUUGAUACUGAAGAUCUUGAGUUCGGGAGAGGUGAGUGGAACUGCGAGUGUAGAGGUGAAAUUCGUAGAUAUUCGCAAGAACACCAGUGGCGAAGGCGGCUCACUGGCCCGAUACUGACGCUG